Long non-coding RNA from Oncorhynchus gorbuscha (pink salmon), 1879 nucleotides. RefSeq lists it as uncharacterized. Lineage: Eukaryota; Metazoa; Chordata; Actinopteri; Salmoniformes; Salmonidae. The record is from RefSeq and is a predicted model, not a curated record. The transcript has 2 exons.
UGUGAACUCACUACCCACACAUGCUACACUGACUCUCUUACACUGGCUCUAUGUGAACUCACUACCCACACAUGCUACACUGACUCUCUUACACUGGCUCUAUGCGAACUCACUACCCACACAUGCUACACUGACUAUCUUACACUGGCUCUAUGCGAACUCACUACCCACACAUGCUACACUGACUCUCUUACACUGGCUCUAUGUGAACUCACUACCCACACAUGCUACACUGACUCUCUUACACUGGCUCUAUGUGAACUCACUACCCACACAUGCUACAUUGACUCUCUUACACUGGCUCUAUGCGAACUCACUACCCACACAUGCUACACUGACUCUCUUACACUGGCUCUAUGUGAACUCACUACCCACACAUGCUACACUGACUCUCUUACACUGGCUCUAUGUGAACUCACUACCCACACAUGCUACACUGACUCUCUUACACUGGCUCUAUGUGAACUCACUACCCACACAUGCUACACUGACUCUCUUACACUGGCUCUAUGUGAACUCACUACCCACACAUGCUACACUGACUCUCUUACGCUGGCUCUAUGCGAACUCACUACCCACACAUGCUACACUGACUCUCUUACACUGGCUCUAUGUGAACUCACUACCCACACAUGCUACACUGACUCUCUUACACUGGCUCUAUGUGAACUCACUACCCACACAUGCUACACUGACUCUCUUACGCUGGCUCUAUGUGAACUCACUACCCACACUUGCUACACCACACACGCUCACACAGACGCAUUUUCCCACUCUCCACAUACACUGCUGCUACCCUGUUUAUUACCUAUCCUGAUUGCCUAGUCACCUUUUACCCCUACCCACAUGUACAAUUACCUCAACUACCUCGUACCCCUGCAUAUUGAAUCAGUGCUGGUACUCCUUGUAUAUAGCCUCGUUGUUGUUACUUUGUGCUACUAUUUCCUUUUUUAUUCCUUACUUUCUAACUCUGCAUGGUUGGGGAAGGGCUCGUAAAGUCAGCAUUUCACAGUAAAGUCUACACCUGUUGUAUUCUGCGUGUGUGACAAAUUAAAGGUGAUUUGAAUCUCACAGUGUGUGUUUGUCCUUCCCUUGGUUUACAGCCCCCUGAAACAUGAAGAAAAAGGGGCCAGAGAGAAAACAACACAGAGGAGAGAAUCUGUUCCAACAUGCAGAGCCAGAGAAAAACAGGGUCGACACAAACACACAAUUCUCCUCAAACACGAUGGCUGAGCAUUGGCUCCGGGCCUCACUAGAGACGCAUCAUGUUGACGGGUUUAUUCCCCUGGCGGCCAGUGAUUCUGAGCGCAACACCGAAGCGCUGCGUGUCACAGUCCAAACCUCGAUCCACAAGUCUGCCAGAUGCAGCACAGUAACCUUUUUAUUUACCUAACUUAUUCACAGAAACUGACUCUACAGGGACACGACUAUUACUCUCUGAGAAAUACGGCGAAGUAGAAAACCCCACCCUGUUGUCUUAUCCAAACGAGAUAACAUACCGCACAUUACUGAGGAAAACAGUUGACCAGAAGAAAAUGUUGAAAAUGAAAACGUUGUGGUGUGUGUGUUCUCCUCAAAACCACAUACUAUGUUAAAGUUUGCCAAAUUGUUCUGUUAAGGAAGUUUGUUUUUAUUGUUGUGCGUAAUGGUGUGUGAUCUGAGGUAACAUCUAGAAUGGUGUGUUGGUAUAUACUGUCUAUGCAGGUGUUAUUGUAUGGUAUAAUAUGUCCGUGUGAUGUGUCUGUAUGCUGAAUGUUUUUAGUUACAUUUGCUGUGCUUGUAAAAUUGAAUUAUUGAACCUCACGUGACAGAUUUAUUGAAUGUUGUGAAAACCAAGAAACAAAUGGUAAAAUAAAUCAAUAAAAAGACGUUUGUUUUA